AUUGAACGCUGGCGGCAUGCUUUACACAUGCAAGUCGAACGGUAACAGGUUAAGCUGACGAGUGGCGAACGGGUGAGUAAUGCAUCGGAACGUGCCCGGUCGUGGGGGAUAACGCAGCGAAAGCUGCGCUAAUACCGCAUACGAUCUGAGGAUGAAAGCGGGGGACCGUAAGGCCUCGCGCGAUCGGAGCGGCCGAUGUCAGAUUAGAUAGUUGGUGGGGUAAAGGCUCACCAAGCCAACGAUCUGUAGCUGGUCUGAGAGGACGACCAGCCACACUGGGACUGAGACACGGCCCAGACUCCUACGGGAGGCAGCAGUGGGGAAUUUUGGACAAUGGGCGAAAGCCUGAUCCAGCAAUGCCGCGUGCAGGAAGAAGGCCUUCGGGUUGUAAACUGCUUUUGUACGGAGCGAAAAGGUCUCCUAAUACAGGGGGCUCAUGACGGUACCGUAAGAAUAAGCACCGGCUAACUACGUGCCAGCCGCCGCCGUAA
This 491-nucleotide ribosomal RNA is filed under the name uncultured bacterium. RNAcentral describes it as "partial 16S ribosomal RNA". It matches the Rfam family "Bacterial small subunit ribosomal RNA", at positions 29 to 523 of the family's 1533-position model. The record is from RNAcentral.